GGGUAACUGUAGCAGGAGAUUAGCUGCUGGGGUAAGACAUUUUACGCUUUAAGGUAUUUAAGUGAGAUCUAGAAGGGGUUUAACCAUGGCCACAGCCAGUACUACAGAGAAUGGGCCGAGUUCGCGUUCCGAGGAGAGCCAAGAAGCGCAAACAAAUGUCAACGCCACAACUGAAUACUGCGCAAAGUUACAGGAAUGGAUGUGGCAGUACUACUGGGGCUAUGUAAAUUGGCAAAGCUGGAUGACUCUGACUACGUUUCCUUUUCCUCCGUGCAAUUUCCCCGUAGCUGGAAACUAUCAAGCGCCGACUGGAACUCCAUGGCCCGUUGGACAACCAACCGAUGCCCGAUAUGGGUACAACUAUCCGGGAAUAGGGUACCCCUUUCCAUUCCCUGCGCCCCCUACUACGGGUUUUCAGACAGGGCAGCAGAUGACAGCUGGGACACUGCCUCAUGAUGCAAGGCCAGUGCAACAACAGAACGGAAACGCACCUCAAGCAGGCCGGGAAUACACCAUCCCUUCUCCCCUCCACAGAUUCCUAGCAGAGACGGUGGACUUCUUUAUUUUAUUUUGCGUCAAGGCAACCAUCAUCCUGUGGAUUAUGCACCUUAGUGGCAUGAAGGACAUCACUAAGUUCGUCACCCACUUCAUAGUUGAGGAGAUAGAUGAGAACACGUCUAUGGAGGACCUGCAGAAGAUGAUGGCAGUAGCUCUGGUCUACAGGGUACUGGUCUGUUUCUAUGAGAUCAUCUGUAUCUGGGGUGCGGGUGGUGCCACCCCAGGGAAGUUCCUCCUUGGUCUUCGGGUCGUGACAUGUAACAGUUCAGUCCUGGUCCGACCUAACCGGGUACUGGUGGUACCGGCAUCUAACGUCACCCUGUCAGCUUCCACGGUGCGGGCGUUGAACAAGAACUUCUCCAUUGCCUUCCUGUUCCCCGUCUUCAUUAUCCUCCUCUUCUUCCAACACAACAGGACUGUCUAUGACGUUGUAGCUGGAACCAUCGUGGUGCAGCGCAGAGGGGCCAGAUAAAAUACCCUAUAGUUGAUCUGAACAGGGUCCUGUUCAGUAUGGAACACCGUAGCAUAACACUUUGCAACAGAAAAUGCCAGCAUCAAUGUUUCACUGCAUCUGUGUUCCGGUGGACCUGCUCUAACCUGGAGCCAAGGCAAGGCCCUUGGUCCUUUUCAUGUACAUAACAAUGGCCAAUUGUGGACUUUAACACCAUGUGACAAAGCAACAGUCCUGAAUGAUGCAGAUGUUGAUUCUGCUCACCACAAGUCUUUAGUGUCACACUCCUGAAGGAAGCACAAUAACAUUAGAGGUACAUUAAACACUGACGACACCCUAGUGUGGGGGUAAGUUUCAGUGGAAAAGCACCAUCAAUUUCCUCUGCUCUUUCUUCCUCUCAUCCCUCCUUCUCCCCCUCUCCUAUUUACCAGUAGUGCCCUGUAGGCCAGUAUGUCCUGGAAAAUUCCUGCUAAUAAACUCCAGUUGGAUGGAAUGAAUGACUAGAACAGUGUAGAGCGGGGUCGACCGAGGACACACUCACACUAGUCAACAAUAAACAACCAUGUUUUUCCAUGGAUUCAUUUCCACUUGAACUCAGUGACACAGACAUGCUCAAAAUACAGUCACACUCAGUCACACACACUCCGAUCACAUGCUCUAAACUGUAGUAGUCAGUCAUCAAAUUCCUCUGCUGUCUUUUCUGGUGACUUGUCUGAGAGAAAGAAACAAUGUACUCCUCUCUGUCUGACUCUCUGUCUGUGUCUCUCUGUCUUGCUCUGUCUCUCGCUCCGUCAAUAACAGUAAACAUUACACACACAAAAGUUC
This is an RNA transcript of Salvelinus namaycush (lake trout), 1834 nucleotides long. It is a transcript of the gene named protein FAM8A1-like, with no coding region annotated. Lineage: Eukaryota; Metazoa; Chordata; Actinopteri; Salmoniformes; Salmonidae. The transcript has 6 exons. The record is from RefSeq and is a predicted model, not a curated record.